CGGCCACCAAACACUACUGCUCUGCUUGGGACCUUAUGACAUGUGGUUCACCCUCCACCUGAGCCUGGUGUCAGGCAGGAGGAUGCCAAAGAGCAGGUGGAAGGGAGGGAGCUGGAGCUUCUCCAGAGGUGGCCUCACCGGCUGCUUUUUAUGGACAAGGAGAUACCUGAUCUGGCUCUGAACCAUCCUCCCAGAUACCUGACCAGAUACUUCCUGAUUUCGUGCUCUUCCUGAGCUACUGAAUCCUCCACUUGGCUCUCUGGAGAGAUCUUCUGGCUUCUGAAUUCCUGGUCUCUCCUGACCCUGAGGUGAUGCCCAGACCUUACUGUACAUGGCCUGACAUAACACUGAUCCUAACAGAUUUUCCAAGAUUUCCCUGAAGAUCAAAUGCUCCCAGUCUUUCUCCAAAAUGACUCCCUCCAUCCACUCCUGAGACAGAGAAAUUGAGUCGCUGGACAGAUGAAAAGUUUCAACACAGGACCGAACAUGAAACCCUCAGUACAAGUAGCCUAAUUUCACACAUUAGCCAGAGGGAAAUAAACACCUCAACAGAGUUAGAGAAACUUGGAACACUGGCAAAAAGUUUCUGUUCUCUCUGCUCCUCUGGGAUCCAGGAGCUAUCAGAGUCCUUAGUAACAUUGUCUACAUUUGGAAUCCCUUUUCACUUGAAAUAUUUGCCCAAGUACUUCAACCUAUACUUCUGCUACUCUCUCCCUUUCUUCUGCCUCAGCAAAUUUAAGUGGCAUUUUCUACAAGUCUCCCUUUGCUUAUACAGUUCACUCCCCACCUAGGAACUUCUGCAUUGCCUACCUGAAACCUUUCACCUGCAUCUCAUUUCUGUUAUGCGUUACCAUGGGAGUUAUGAAAGAAAAUAGAUACCCCCCUUGGAGAACUGGCCCUCUCA
This is a long non-coding RNA of Alligator mississippiensis (American alligator), 904 nucleotides long. RefSeq lists it as uncharacterized. The record is from RefSeq and is a predicted model, not a curated record. The transcript is spliced from 3 exons. NCBI's taxonomy places the organism in Eukaryota, Metazoa, Chordata, Crocodylia, Alligatoridae.